CACACACACACAGGGGAUCUGGAGUCAUCCCGAUCUGUCCCACAAUGCACUGCUUCAGCUGAGACCGUGAUGGAGGGCAGACUGAGAGACCUGCUGCUGGACAUCGAGGACCGGAUACACCAGGGAACUCUGGGAACUCUGAAGGUGAUGGACAGACAGCUGUGGCGCUCGGCGCUGGAAGCAGGAAACUACGAGCUGCUGGAUUCUGACGGAGGAGUGGACGCCAUGGAGGACUCACCUGGUCAGCUGAGAACCAGAGACAGG
Molecule: long non-coding RNA, 264 nt
Organism: Etheostoma cragini (Arkansas darter)
Lineage: Eukaryota; Metazoa; Chordata; Actinopteri; Perciformes; Percidae
Exons: 3
Source: RefSeq, a predicted model, not a curated record